Molecule: long non-coding RNA, 10836 nt
Organism: Felis catus (domestic cat)
Lineage: Eukaryota; Metazoa; Chordata; Mammalia; Carnivora; Felidae
Exons: 3
Source: RefSeq, a predicted model, not a curated record
UGGAGUGUUUAUUAUUAGUUUUUAAAUACUGAAUUAUGAGUUCUUUAUAUAGUUCACAUGUUAACCCCUUAUUGUAUAUAUUAUUUGUGACUGUCUUCUCCCAUUGCCUUUUCAUUUUGUUGGUCAUAUCCAUUGCUGUAUAAAAGCCUUUCAGUUUGGUGUACUCCCAUUUGUUUGUACAAAAGCUUUUUAGUUUGUUGUAGUCAAAAGUUUUGAGUGCGGUAUUUUGGUCUUUUUUUCUUUUUCAAUUGUGAGGAUACCAUUUCUGUUUUAUUUUGGUUAUCAAUUUGUGGACUAUGGACUGUGUACUCAUUACCCAUUUCUAGGAAGAAAUUUGAAUAUUCAGUUCAGAGAAAGGUAAACAAGAAUUCUUUAAAGCACUCUUGGGAGUUAGAGUUGCUAAUUAUUGUUUACCGUGGGGAGAUGCUCUCAAGGAAUCAUAGGUACAUGAAAUAGAAAUCUUUUACUAUUAUGCCUCCUUUUUAGUCCAUCUUAAAUAUACUGGACACAUGAAGAAAGAUGGCAACAGUGAGGAAGAUACCAAAUCCAUUGCUUGGGAAGCCUGCCAAUAAAAUAGAGCUGGCACAGGGUUUAGAACCCAAGCUCUUCCAGAUAGUGGACACACCUUACUUUCUGUCUUCAGCUGUGUUUCUUAGAGUGGUCAGAGAACAUCUUGUAUUUUAGGAUAGGCCCCAGGGCUACUUGAAUGCAGAUUUAUGGGCCUACCACAGGCUUAAGGAAUUAGAGUCUCAUAGAGUUGGGCCAGGGAAUGUGUUUUUCUUAGCCUUCAUUAUGGAAACUUUUAAGCAUACAGAGUGUUAGAAAGAGUAGUGAACACCUGUUACCAUCUACCUGGUUUCAAUAAUUAACAUAGAUAUCUUUGUCAGUGUAUGUUUGUGUAUCUAACAUACUAUGAGGAAGCACCUCUCUGUACUUCAAAUACUAAAUAAUUAGAAUAAUUCUACAUAGCUGUAAUACCAUUAUCCCAUCAUUAUCAAUGAUUCCAUAAUUUUACAGAAUCAUGUAAUAACUGCUUAUAUUCACAUUUGCCCAUUUGCCCCCAACAAUUUCUUCUAUAGGUUUUUUCCCCUCCAAACAGGGAUUUAAUUAUAAUUCACUCAUUGCUUUUGUUUCUGUUACCCUAGAACAGUUUUCUUACAUUUUUUCCCCUCGUGACAUUGACUUUUGCAGACUCUAGGCCAGUUCAUACAUGUUCUAUAUUUUGGAUUGCCUAAUUGUUUUUUCCAAGUAUCAUCUGACCUCUCUGUUUUCUGGGUCAACUUUAAGGUGCAUCUAGGGGCUUGAUUUUAUUCAGGGUACAUAUGUUUGCCAAAAUACUGCUUCCUACUUCCUUUUUGCAUCCUGUCAACAGGCACAUGGUAUCUGAUGUGUUGCACUGUUAGUGAUGCUAAGGUUUAUCUCUUGGUUAAGAUUCUGACUGCCAGAUUUUUCUGAAUAGAGGUAUAUAUUUUUUCCCUUUUGCAACCAGUAAAUAACUCGUGGGAUAAUACUUUGGCAAGAUGUCAGUGUUGUUUCCUAGCAACCUUUUACCCACUGCCAUUAGCAGCCAGUGAGAAUCCUCCCUGUUAUCAAUUAUGACAUUGUUGGUGGGAGGUGGGAUUUGUAUUUCAAACAAGCUCCCCAGUAAUUCUUACCUUUCUUUAAAGUUUGGAAGCCUUUGCUCUAGAGGAAUCAGUACCUGAGAAUUAAAAAAAAAGAAAUUCUGUCCUGAAGAAGUGAGUAUGAAUCUAGGCCCUGAUGAGUUCUCAGUGGGUUGUCAGUAGACAAAGUUUAAACUGCAUGUUAGUUUUGGAGGAGCAAAAUUUGUGUUCUCAUGUGUUUCUCAUAUGUAAUAGCAAUAAGUCAAGGUAAAGACUAACAGAGAUAUGUAGUAACUAUUAGUAUAUAUGAGUUAAAGGAGAGUGGUAUAGAAGAGGCAUAUAGAAAUUACUAAGGAGGAAAGGCAGCUGUAUUGAAAAUUGUUUUUGCAAAUAUUGUCUCAUUUAAAUUUUCAUAAGUUUUUGUGCUCAUUUUAUAGAGGAAGAAAUGGGUUUAGAGAGGUUAAGUAAUCUGAUGUUACUGGUAACUAACUGGUGGAGAAAGGUUUUGAAGGUAGAUCUCAUUGAUGGCAAAAUUUGUGCAGUUUUCUUUAUCAGACUUCUCUUGUAAUGAUCAGAAGGCUCUUCUCACUAAUUACUUUGCUUUACUUUGGGACUUUGCUGUUCUGCUUAUUGAAAAUGGAGAAAUGAUAUUCUUGAACCACUGGGCCCUCUUGAUGUAAAGCUAGGGUCCUUUGAGACCUCUGAUUUCUAGUCUAAUGUAUUAAACUCUGAGGAGUGUGGUAGGCUUACGACUCUUAGUCAGUUGUAACUGCUGUUGUGAUUCAAGCAGCUGAGUGGUACUGCUGAGUGUAUAUCUUUAGGAAGUUAUUUUCUGUACUUCACCCUAGUCUCUUUCUUGGGAUAGGUGAUCCUUCCAACCCCGUGAUUUCCACAUUACAGAAAGGAGUAUGUAGGGUUGACCACACCCUCUUGGCCACUCAUUAUCCUUGCAGGUCCCACCUAAAGGCUGCACCCGUAUGUUGGUUCUUAGGUGACCUGUUGGAAACACUGAGAGCAGCAGCUCUUAAGAUUCCUAAGAUUAUGAAGCUAUUAUUUCCAAACUUUGGCUGUGCAUUGGAAUCAUCUGAGGAGUUGGAUAUUUGGGUACUACCAUAACAGAUUAGGAUCCAUUAGAUCUGGAAGGGCCUUGGAAUCUGUAUGUUUUAAAAGCCUGUGUUUCCACAGAGGUCCCCCAGCAGUGCACCAAGAUGAGAACCACAGUUGUAUAGGUUGAUUUCUGCCACUAUUUGCAGUGAUAGUUCUUGAGAAGCAGUUUCUGUUAGGAUCGCUUGGAAAGUUUUUAUAAAUCUGAGCACUGGGCAUGCCAGAUUUAGAGCGGUGGACCAUACAGAGGAAGUUGUGAUGAUGAUUUUAAUGGAUCACACCAGUGUUAAAGCAAUCUCUGAUUUGACCUUACCCUUAGUUGGAAUGGGUUGGUGAAAGUGUGUAUUAAUCAAGUAGUAGCAAGAUUUGUCAUCUAUUAUGGCAUAUGGAUUACCAUAAACUAAAGCCUUAGAAUAUUGUAAAGACAUUUAACUUUAAAACUGUAUGGUGUAUAAUUGAAUAUUCCUUUGAUUCAGAAGCUUCUUUGGAAGUUUGAAGUACUUCGGGGUCAUUAUUAACACAAAUUACCACUGUUAGUGUUCUAGAAGUGCCAGGUUAGGUGUUGGGGAGAUUGAUAUUCAAUCCAGAGUGAAUUUCACAUCUUGAAUUUUCAGAAAUGUUGUAUAUGUUGAAGUCAGUACUAAGGUAGGAUUCCUAAAAAGAAACCAGUGAGUGAAAGAGGAGAAGUGACCUAAAAGGUAUUAAAUGGGUGUCAUUACACACAGGGAUGAAGGAAGCAGAGAAGAAAAAUGAUUUCACUACAUUUUGCUUGACAGAUUCAUGAGCAGAGGGUGGAUAACUAGGGAAGGGGAUCGGAAGGGGUCAUGGAGUGUUUUGCUCUGUUACUCCAUGUUGGUAGGAUAUCAGUACAGUAGAUCAACAAGGAAACCUAGAAUCCGCACAUACCAAAAUAGUGUCCCUCGGGGUUCCAUGUGGGAAUGUAGUGUGGCAGUGGUGAGGCAGUUCAGGCUCCUUAUAACUGGGCAGUUUGGGUCAGAAAUCCUAGUGGAGGCAAUGGCUGGCAGAGAUGGGGCACAGAGUUUAUGGGCGAGCACCGUGUAGACCAGGUUGGAGCCUCUGAUUUUGGAUUGAAAUGAGCAAAAUUCCCACAUCUGUCAUUUUGCUUGGUUAUGAGGAAUGCAGCUCUGGAGGAGUCACCUAAAUAGUAUAAGGAGCCUUGUAUGUUCAGGAUGCUGCCAUUUUGCCUUCUUUAAAGCAGUUUUCAUGAAAGCUGACUCCAAAGGAAAAGAUUAUGCUUUCUAAAAAGGAAAUUAUAUUUUCAAAAUUCAAGCAAUCCCAAAUGGUUUGGUUAGACCUAGUGUGUGAUGGUGUGCCUUUGGACUAGGAGAACAGAGAAGCUACCUAAAGGAUUUAUUACUCUGUUUGCAGACUAAAUGACAGUUGUAAAAGCGAAGCUGAAGGUAAAAGCAAUUAUAUUGUAGAUUUGGAAGAAUAGAGAAUUAGAAUAUGUUUGUAGCAUUUAUGGACUAUAUGGUUUCCAUUGUUUGCUAGGGACUACAUAAUUUUUAGGUAGGUUUUCAGAUGGUAGUUGUCUAGGAUUAAAUGAGAUGGUGUUUGUCAGGCUGCUAAAGGAUUUGUAAUGGGGACCCAUGAGGUUGGAUUGUGUCAUUUUGCCUGUUUGCCUGACAUUUGCAGUUCACGAUCUCAAUUUGUGAUAUGCUCAUACCUAUUCCUGAAAAACCUCUCAUUCUGCAAAAUCACGCACUAAAACUAAGGCCUGUGGGGAAAAAAAAGGAUUAAGGCUAGACUACUUAAAACUAUGUAACUUUGUAACCAUAGCAUUAACAAAAACAAUGAGAAUCCAGAUAAAAAUACCACUACGGUAGUAUGGGUGACAUUUGCACUCCCUGCCAAGAUGAUUCUAGGUCUUAUUUUAUUCUGGGACAUGUUUUUCUUUGAAAUGUUGGUUCCUGUAGCUAUUAGCUUCUAUUGGAGGCCGGUUUCACCAUAAUUAAAGCUCUGAUGUAAGGUGUAGCCUUCAUGUGUGUCCACAGCAUCACAAGAUAGUGGAGAGCAUAACAGACCCUAAAGCCAGUAAAGUGACCACCCCUAUUUGUGCCACAGGAAGGUAAGACUUUGGUGAGAUUCUCAGUUACCACUUUUCUUAAAAUCUUUAUUUUGUUUUUCCCUCUAAGUCUUUCUCAUUAUUUCUGAACAAUCUUGUCCAGGAUAGCUUCAAAACAUUAACAUGCUGGGAAGAAUCACUCAAGAACCAACACUACUUUCCCAUUACACUGUUGUCAUUCUCAUUUUGCCAGGCAGGUGUGAAGGAAUCCAUGGGACAGAAGCAUGCGUUUUGGCAGAACUGACAUAUUUUUGAAUCUGACGGUUUCAUGAUGCAGCUCUUGAAAAUACCAAGGUUCUAUUGUUUUGGGAAGUUCUAGUUUGGGAGACACUAGUGUUUCAACGUUAAGUGAAAUUGGUACCCUUCUCAAGUUUGGUGGGGUUUUUUUGUUGUUGUUGUUUUUUUUGGCCCUUACAUACAAUAAGUAAGUGAAGAGGGGCUAUUUUAAUCCAUUUUAAAAUGUCUGCUUCUAUCACAUAGUCAUUGGAUGGAAUGUGGGGAUGUCUCAGUGCCGCAUCAUUUGGACCACAUAUGUGGAGCAGGAAUGGUUUUAAAUUUUGGUUCAUUUGAAAUGUGGUUUUAGUGAGCUUUUAAAUUAAAAUUCAUCUGAGCAUACAGUAAACAGAAAAAGGAGCAACAGUAGCCAGUUGUCAAGGAAAAGACUGAUGGGUAGAAUAAACAGACGGCUUUCAGCAAUAUAAACAAUCUGUUUUCAGAGAGUGUUUUUUUUUUUUUAAAGGAUGAUUGGGAGAAUUUCCAAAAUAAGUAGAAGUUAGUUAAAUGUGAAAGGCAGCAGAUAUACAACAUUUAUGUUAGUGACUCUUACAAUUUGUUUCCUCAGUAAGUAUAAUAGCAAAAAUUUCGGUGACUUAACACAAUAGAAAUGUCUUGUUUCUUGUGGGUGGUCCUGGCUGAUAGUGGCUUUUACAUCCUUUAGGGACUCAACACCCUCAGCAUUCAGCCAGUGAAAGGAAGGGGAAAAUGGAGAAAGCCUAAGUGCUUCCUAAAAGCCCUACCUAAAAGUGAACACAUCACUUGUGCUGAAAAUCCAUUGUGAAGAACUAGCCCUGUGACUGUAACUACAUCAGCUCUAAGCGAAAGACAUGAGGCCUAAGACUGAAAUGAGGUUGUUUUGAGGCCAUCUGAUUUCUGACUAGAAGGUGUGCGAUCGCCUCGUCCUGAAACCACUUCAAACAGAAUGGUUUGCAAUUUUUUUUGGUGAUGGCAUGUUCAGAAUCUUGGAUCCCUAAGUUGAAUAUGUUGGAAAUAUUUAGGAACUCUGGAAAUUAUUGUUUUGUGUAUAUAAUGGCUUACUAGGUGAAUCAGUAGAUUUAAUAAAAAGUAUAUAAAAGACUAGGUAUUAUAAAUUUUGUGUUUCUAAGUUGACAUGCAUAUCUCAAAUUGUCAUCUAUCAGUAUUAGUGUCAUUCUCUGGAGAUAGUCCUAUUUUGAAGAUUUGGGGGUUUUUAUGGACCCCGUAUUUUCCUGGCGGUUUAUGUAUUCCCCCACGCCUCGGGCCAGUUUGUUCAGCUCCUUUACCUUUCUACUACUGUGCAGUGUAGCUUACUUAGAUCAGUGGUAAUUAUUGAACAGGAAGAGAUCAAGUGACAGUCCUAGAGAUAGUAAUUAUAAAAUUUCAGCCUGGAAAUGACCUCAAAACGGUCUGUAUUCGAAUGUACAGAUUAUAUCCAAAUACACUUGUGACAAAACGCUGCCGAUUUUCUCCUUGGAUAUUAUUGUCUAGGAACAGAAGUGCUAAUAGGGAGGAAAAAGAACUGUUCAGUUUUACCUCUUCCCUCUCUCCCUAUUGUUGGGCGAAUGGGUUAGGGGGAAAGUAAGAUGGCCAAGAGAUAGACCAUGUAAAUGAAAAGGAAGAAAAACAAAUUUUAAUCUCCAAGAAAGAAUAUUUCCCCUUAAAAAUUCGAAAGUUAGCUCCAUUCUGUGUACCUGAACAUACUGUUUUAAAACUGUGGGCUCAUUUUCACAUAGGCCCAGAAUGUGAGCUAGGGUAUGCUUAUGCUUAACCAUAGGAAUGGCUGGAGAACUUGUUAUUUGAUAGGAGAGUCAGACAGUCCUUGGGUGACAGUCAGUGGUUGACUUGUUCCCUGACCUGUUCCUGCUGCGAUUAACAGAUUUGAGGAAUUUUCUGGGGCAGUUAUUUUGAUGGUCAAAUGAUACAACAGCCUCUCUACCCCUUUGACCAAAACUGAGGAAAAAAUUGAUUUUUAAGACUGUAUUUAGAACAGCCUGAAAAAGGAUCAUAGGAAAAGGCUGAGGUAGUCCAGUAGAAUGUUAAUGUAUUUGACUAUUACAAGGUUUAUUAUUGGUAGAUUAUCCAAUAAUACGGAAGUUGGUGUAUAACCCAAGUUUUCAUAACGUUUCUAUUAGAAGACUUCCAGAACUAAAUAAAAUACACCCUCCACCCCUUUGCUUUACUUUGCUUUGCUUUAAGAGGAUUUGACUGAUAGGUAUAUUUAAUAGGUGGCACAAUGAAGACAUUAGAUUUUUAAAAAUCAGGUUACAUUUUAAUUUAAAUGUGUGUUGCCUCUUUGCUGCUUUCCCAUUACAACUGGCUUUUUAAAAACUCUCCUUCUGUGAUACUUUUAUCAAUAGAGGUGUUUCCUCUUAGCCAAUUCUAGCCACAGUAUUGACUGGGCCUCGGCAUUUGAUAUACCCAGAAGGAAUUAGACAGACAGGAAAAAAGUUGGUCUAUACUGAAAUGAAUAUUUUAAAAACCUUCUUAGAUUCUGAACACUUUGAGUACAAAUGAAAGAGACCCAAGAGGGGGGAAAAUUUAAGAGCCCAAGAAUAAAAAAAUGGUGGGGGUGGGGGUGGGGGAUAACCCCUUACAUAGCUAACUAAGGUAUAAUAAGGGAAGGAAAUUAAUUUCCUGGAGAUUAUGAGAUAGAAUAUGAAAUCCCUUGGAUAGUAGGCAUUCUUAGACUCAUUAGGGUAGUUCACACUAGCACACUGCAGUAUUGUAAGGACAGUGGUAUGUGAUCUGGAGAAAUAUUAAUGGAUUUCCUAACACAGAGUUUGGUAUUUAUUGUAGUGUGUUAUAAAUGGGUAUGCAGCUCAAAAAUGAAUAUAAUUCAAAAUAAGUAUCGUAGAUACUAGAGAAAAUAUUGUAAAAUCUGGAUCUUUUGUCUCUAUUUUGCAACGUUAGAGAGUAAUGUAGAAUACAGAGCAUAGUAGAGAAUUGAUGGCAUGACUAUAAUCAGUAUGUGAUGGUUGCUUACUAGAAACUUCUAAAUAAAACCUGACAUUUGUCUAAUGUUGUCCUCAGUUGUACUGUAACAAUUUUAGUGAGAAAAUGUGUACCUUCUUGGGUCACUCUACUCCAUAGUCUGGCACAUCACUGUGGAAAUGUAGAAAUCUAAGCUCGUUUACCCAGAGAGGAACGGAUCUUUGUAAAUUUGGAUACAGUAAGUGCGUAGGGACACACACAGAAUGUGAGCCUAGAACAGUGGUUCUUGGUAUUUGGGCACUUUUCGACCCUCUUUUGAAAACCUGAAGGUAACUCUGGAUCCUUUCCCCAACAAGACUGCAAUUUCUGAGGGUAGAGGGACUGCCCUUGGCUGUCAGGUCAGGAAGCCCUGAUCUACAAGAUCAUCUUCAUUUUACUUCUGACCUUGCUCUUGACUUUAUUGUCAACUGUCUGUCAGGGGUUCUCGAAUGGAGCUUCAAAUCUUGAAGGACGCUUACUGCCUUACUCGUUGAACUGAAGCCCCAUGUCCAGAGCUCUGUAACGUAAUGGAGCAGACGUCGUUCACAAAACGCUGCCCCACAAGUACAGUGGUAGAAAGAGAGCCUGAGGCAUUUGUGUGUGGCACAGCCUCCUGGGUAGUACCUCCUUCCUACUGGCACAGGGGGGUUUAUUCCAUAGUAAGUUGAAUCUUGAUGUUCUGUUUUUAAAAAUGAGCAUAUUUCUUCUAAAACCUCGAAUUAUUAUAAAGGUUUCUAACUGUGACUUUUUCCUCGUGUCAUAGGAUGUCACAUUAAUGGUGUAAAAUGUGCACUUCACAUUAACAUAGUAACUGGGAACCUGGGAUUGUUAUUUUGUGACUCAAAUCUAUAACACGUUUUCAGGGGAAUUGUUGAGAUGACCGGAUAAUUCAUUCUUUAUUCCUUUCAAGUUCCUGAAUGUAUGAUUGUUUCUGAAUCUUAUUAAGCCAUUUAUAAGAUGAGACAAAACUGUCUUCAGUUCAUAUUUUGACACAGAAUGCAUACAUUGAAUUGAUCUUAUUAGAAAUGUGUUUUUGACAAAAAAAUUCUAUUUGAGUGGCUCUAAUCUUCAUUUUGGAAUCUCAGAUCCCCUGCUCGUUAUGUCGUUCACUGGGACUUUGCUGCAAAAUACAGCUUCGCUGAGAAGGUCAUCCUUGAAAAAUCAAGAAAUCUGAAGAAACUUACUUUGGGACUUGAGUAAAGAGACGGAAGAGCAUCGUCAGAUUGACAGCGCAGCACUCUGGAAACAUCUUCGACUGCACUGCUUUUGUACAUGAAACAAUUUGACUGUUUUAUGAACUGGACCUAUAGAGAGAGAAAACAACCUCAUAAAAUGUAUCUUUAAUAUAAGAAAACAGGACUCUGGCCUUUGAAACAUUUCUGUCAGGACAGUUUGUUCUGACUACUCACUGAGGGAGGGAGGAGCUUGGGUCAUUGAACUCGACUGAAAGUUAGUUGCCAUGUAUUCUGGAUUUGAAGGUGUUUUUUUAAUUUCCUCUCAGAAUAUAGUGUUUUGGGCUUUUGCACCAUCUGCCUUCCAUGUGCCUUUCCUGUGCCCUGAGAGAGGAGCCGGAGUUCACCUGUGCCCUGAUACUUGUUCUCUGUCCUUUCUUUUCUAUACUGUUGACUUAAAUGUGGGGAAAUGUGGAGCAGGUAGAGGAUUCCAGGAUCCUGUUAAAUCUAUCCCGCUAUCCCUCCCAGGUAGUUGUAUUGCAUUUCCUUUUCAGCUCCUCUCAGUGUUGCCCAAUUUUAGCCCCUCGGUUAGGUCGAGGCGGCAUUAAAAUCACACCUUUUGAGGCUCCCUUCCCAUCGUCCUUUUUGUUCUGCCUGCAGUGGGCGGUUUUCAGUUGUCCUACUGGGCCACAUGUGCUCUCUCAUUUCCCUCCCCCUUCCUGCGUGUUCUGCUGGAGAGAGAAAACAGAUCUAGACUUGGGGAUUUGAGUUGCGUGAGGUUUGCCCCCACAGAUGCACAGCACGGUGUUUAAAAUACAGCCUCUUAGCUGUGCUGUCCACAGUAGUCUCCUUCAUACCUCUGCUCUGUGCUGGGCACUGUCCCCUCGUCCUCUCCGCCGCUCGAUUCUCCUGAGGCCGGGAAUGGACCGCAUGGCGCCAUCCACACAGGGGGAACCGUAGUUGACCUCUGUGUAAGCUUGCUAGUUCUGAGGUCAUGAGUUAACGAGGGAGCCGAAGAGUUCCCCGGGUCCUCCACCGGACUCUGGUAAAAGCAGAUCAUGUGCAGAGAAAGUCCUCAUGCCGGAAUGAUUUUGAAAACAAGAUUUGUCCAAAGAAAUAGGCCAAAUUCCAGGUUAACCGUGAACCCACAUUGACUCUCCUGGUGUGCCUUACUUUCCACAAAAUAAAAACCUUACCAAAUGAACCCUGACGUAAGUCAAAUGUGGUAUUACUCAAAAAGAGUUUUUACAAGUAGUUUUCAGAAACAUGUGCAAAUAAAUAUGUUUUGUAUGAAAGAGUAUAUACUAUGUACAAUAAUUUUCUGAUUCUUGCUCUAAUAAAUAUUAAACUUAAGUGGUCUCCGUAUUUGAGCCCUAAUAGUUUGAAAUUAUUUUUUUGAAAUUACUUUCUUGAGUAACAUUUUAAGGUACACAAUCUUUUUACUUUUCAUGUAACGUGCAAGUGUUCUUAGAAGCUGUUGACACGUGUUUGUUUUCCACAUGUGAACCUACUGUGUCUUCAGUUAAGAGUUUCUGAACCUUUGGCUGUAAUUACCAAGCGCUGGGGGUUGGGCUGGCUGGAAAUGCGUGUUGAGCUUUUCUGUGUAUGCAGCAAACUGUGUGCAAAUAAAGUAGCUUUGUACCCUGAA